Long non-coding RNA from Scomber scombrus (Atlantic mackerel), 611 nucleotides. RefSeq lists it as uncharacterized. The record is from RefSeq and is a predicted model, not a curated record. The transcript has 3 exons. NCBI's taxonomy places the organism in Eukaryota, Metazoa, Chordata, Actinopteri, Scombriformes, Scombridae.
CAACACUCUCACACUGAGGAGACAACAGAAGAAUUGGACGACUUCAGAGCAUCAUUCAGACGUUCUUCUCCAAAGAUGGCCAACCUGUUGUGGAUCACAGUGACACUGAUAUUCCUUCUGUCUGCUGGAUGUUCGGCUCACAGGGACCCGAAAUAUGAAGCUGGUCUUAUAGCGGCGCUUGCAAAUGCAGAGCAUAAGAAACCUGCGAAUCAACAGAACAAACCUGCGGAUCAACAGAACAAACCUACUCUCUUGAGUAAAGUGAACUCAAAGCAGAAGAAAUAGAACAGAUUAAUAAUGAUCAAGUGUAUAAAAACGGCAGACUGGUUGUCGCCAUAAGACUUGAUUAAAAAAAAAGAAAAAAGUGUGGCUUGUUUUGGAAGAACAUGAAAAACAUGGGGGGAUCGUUUGUUGGUCAUCUUCUCAUAUCUCUCCAUGUGGGAUCAAAGAGAAUGUGGCCUCUAACAUUUAAUGUCACUUCUAGUUGACAGAAAACUGAAGGUUAUAGAUACUUUUCAUGUAGUUACAAAUUAACAGUCACAUUUUGUAUUUACUUUAGCAAACUCAAAUAAGAAAAAAGUAGGUUUUGUGUAAAGUAUUUACAGUACUCA